AGCUCAAAUUUGAAAUCUGGCCUCUCGGGGUCCGAGUUGUAAUUUAGAGAAGUGUUACCCGUGCUGGCCCGUGUAUAAGUCUCCUGGGAUGGAGCGUCAUAGAGGGUGAGAAUCCCGUCUUUG
This 123-nucleotide ribosomal RNA is filed under the name Marasmiaceae sp. Its description in RNAcentral is "partial large subunit ribosomal RNA". Lineage: Eukaryota; Fungi; Basidiomycota; Agaricomycetes; Agaricales; Marasmiaceae. The record is from RNAcentral.